AAGAGUAGGCGCAGCGGUUGCGGAACAGUUCUAAGCAGCUGUUCUGAGGAAAGUCCGGACUCCCGAAAGACCAAACUUGCUGGGUAACGCCCAGUACGAGUGAUCGUGAGGAUAGUGCCACAGAAACAUACCGCCGAUGAAGCAUUUAGCUUACAGGUAAGGGUGCAAAGGUGCGGUAAGAGCGCACCAGCAACGUCGAGAGGCGUUGGCUCGGUAAACCCCGGUUGGGAGCAAGGUCGGAGGAACUAUGGUUGGUCUUUUACCAGUUCCGCUGUAGGAGAACCGCUAGAGGCGUCUGGUGACAGGCGUCCCAGAUAGAUAACCGCAUUUCACCUGCGGUAAUGCGCAAGGGUGAAUAACAGAAUCCGGCUUAUGUCCUGCUCUUUCCC
Molecule: RNase P RNA, 389 nt
Filed under: Chroococcidiopsis sp. TS-821
Lineage: Bacteria; Bacillati; Cyanobacteriota; Cyanophyceae; Chroococcidiopsidales; Chroococcidiopsidaceae
Description: RNase P RNA component class A
Rfam family: Bacterial RNase P class A
About the family: Ribonuclease P (RNase P) is a ubiquitous endoribonuclease, found in archaea, bacteria and eukarya as well as chloroplasts and mitochondria.
Source: RNAcentral